Molecule: ribosomal RNA, 253 nt
Filed under: uncultured bacterium
Lineage: Bacteria
Description: partial 16S ribosomal RNA
Rfam family: Bacterial small subunit ribosomal RNA
Source: RNAcentral
UACGUAGGGGGCAAGCGUUGUCCGGAAUCAUUGGGCGUAAAGAGCGUGUAGGCGGUCCAGUAAGUCCGCUGUGAAAGUCAAGGGCUCAACCCUUGAAAGCCGGUGGAUACUGCUGGACUAGAGUCCGGAAGAGGCGAGUGGAAUUCCUGGUGUAGCGGUGAAAUGCGCAGAUAUCAGGAGGAACACCGAUGGCGAAGGCAGCUCGCUGGGACGGUACUGACGCUGAGACGCGAAAGCGUGGGGAGCAAACAGG